Molecule: long non-coding RNA, 591 nt
Filed under: Marmota monax (woodchuck)
Lineage: Eukaryota; Metazoa; Chordata; Mammalia; Rodentia; Sciuridae
Source: RNAcentral
CUCCACCCCCGGGGACGAGAAACAGAAAGAUAAGUGACACUCUCAAUGCCACACAGCACAGGGAUUUAGGAGAGAAAUGGUUAAGCAGAGCUUUUUAGAAAAUGUGAGACUAGAUUUGGGUCUCUAAGGUAUUAAUAGAACGAAUGGAGGGACAAACGGGUGGGGAGAUCGAUGACACCAUGCCCCACCCCUCCACAAAGGCGCAAGGCCCCGUCCCUUGGAGCCUCUGAACCCCCAGCUUCACUUGGCAAGAGGGACUCAGUCCGUGCGAUUGAGGAUAUAAACCUUGUGAUGGAAAUGUUAUUUUGGAUUAUUUAAAGCCACGAGUCCUAAAGAGAAAGCAGAAAGCCUUUCCCGACUGGGUCAGAAAGAUGAGAGGGGAGAAAAAGAGGGAGAAAUUCAAAGGGUGAGAGCCUAGACUUUGAAGAGGGAGGAAGGGGGCCACGCGUCAAGAUGUGGGUGGCCUCUCGAAGCCGAGGAACGGCCCUCAGCUGACAGCUGGCAAGAGAAGAGAGGUCAGCGAGGACCGCAGUCCUGCAGACACCUUGAUUUCAUCUGCUGAGACCCACGUCAGACCCAUGGCCACGGAAG